UGAUCCUGGCUCAGGAUGAACGCUGGCGGCGUGCCUAAUACAUGCAAGUCGAACGCGCAGCGAAGAGUGCUUGCACUCUUCAAGCGAGUGGCGAACGGGUGAGUAACACGUGAAUAACCUACCGAAAAGCAGGGGAUAACAUUUGGAAACAGAUGCUAAUACCGUAUAAAACGUGCUGUCGCAUGACAAAACGUUAAAAGGUCCGUUUGGACCACUUUUUGAUGGAUUCGCGGUGCAUUAGUUAGUUGGUGGGGUAAAGGCUCACCAAGACGAUGAUGCAUAGCCGAGUUGAGAGACUGACCGGCCACAUUGGGACUGAGACACGGCCCAAACUCCUACGGGAGGCUGCAGUAGGGAAUCUUCCACAAUGGGCGCAAGCCUGAUGGAGCAACGCCGCGUGUGUGAUGAAGGCUUUCGGGUCGUAAAGCACUGUUGUAUGGGAAGAACGGUAAGGGUAGGAAAUGAUCUUUACAUGACGGUACCAUACCAGAAA
RNAcentral lists this ribosomal RNA (493 nucleotides) under Fructobacillus pseudoficulneus. RNAcentral describes it as "bacterial SSU rRNA". It matches the Rfam family "Bacterial small subunit ribosomal RNA", at positions 14 to 489 of the family's 1533-position model. The record is from RNAcentral. Lineage: Bacteria; Bacillati; Bacillota; Bacilli; Lactobacillales; Lactobacillaceae.